GCCGGAAUGAUGGAAUGGUAGACAUAGGGGACUCAAAAUCCCCCGUCCGCAAGGACGUGUGGGUUCGAAUCCCACUUCCGGCACCA
Molecule: transfer RNA, 86 nt
Filed under: Nocardiopsis eucommiae
Lineage: Bacteria; Bacillati; Actinomycetota; Actinomycetes; Streptosporangiales; Nocardiopsidaceae
Also listed under: 1 other name
Description: Nocardiopsis sp. HDS5 tRNA-Leu
Rfam family: tRNA
About the family: Transfer RNA (tRNA) molecules are approximately 80 nucleotides in length. Their secondary structure includes four short double-helical elements and three loops (D, anti-codon, and T loops). Further hydrogen bonds mediate the characteristic L-shaped molecular structure. tRNAs have two regions of fundamental functional importance: the anti-codon, which is responsible for specific mRNA codon recognition, and the 3' end, to which the tRNAs corresponding amino acid is attached (by aminoacyl-tRNA synthetases). tRNAs cope with the degeneracy of the genetic code in two manners: having more than one tRNA (with a specific anti-codon) for a particular amino acid; and 'wobble' base-pairing, i.e. permitting non-standard base-pairing at the 3rd anti-codon position.
Source: RNAcentral